Molecule: ribosomal RNA, 528 nt
Filed under: uncultured bacterium
Lineage: Bacteria
Description: partial 16S ribosomal RNA
Rfam family: Bacterial small subunit ribosomal RNA
Source: RNAcentral
UGGGGAAUUUUGGACAAUGGGCGAAAGCCUGAUCCAGCAAUGCCGCGUGUGUGAAGAAGGCCUUCGGGUUGUAAAGCACUUUUGUCCGGAAAGAAAUCCUUGGCUCUAAUACAGUCGGGGGAUGACGGUACCGGAAGAAUAAGCACCGGCUAACUACGUGCCAGCAGCCGCGGUAAUACGUAGGGUGCAAGCGUUAAUCGGAAUUACUGGGCGUAAAGCGUGCGCAGGCGGUUUGCUAAGACCGAUGUGAAAUCCCCGGGCUCAACCUGGGAACCGCAUUGGUGACUGGCAGGCUAGAGUAUGGCAGAGGGGGGUAGAAUUCCACGUGUAGCAGUGAAAUGCGUAGAGAUGUGGAGGAAUACCGAUGGCGAAGGCAGCCCCCUGGGCCAAUACUGACGCUCAUGCACGAAAGCGUGGGGAGCAAACAGGAUUAGAUACCCUGGUAGUCCACGCCCUAAACGAUGUCAACUAGUUGUUGGGGAUUUCAUUUCCUUAGUAACGUAGCUAACCGCGUGAAGUUGACCGCCU